This 261-nucleotide ribosomal RNA is filed under the name uncultured archaeon. Its description in RNAcentral is "partial 16S ribosomal RNA". It matches the Rfam family "Archaeal small subunit ribosomal RNA", at positions 748 to 1009 of the family's 1478-position model. The record is from RNAcentral.
UAGCCGUAAACGAUACUCGCUAGGCGUCGGCCACGGUGCGACCGUUGUCGGUGCCGUAGGGAAGCCGUGAAGCGAGCCACCUGGGAAGUACGGCCGCAAGGCUGAAACUUAAAGGAAUUGGCGGGGGAGCACAACAACGGGUGGAGCUUGCGGUUUAAUUGGAUUCAACGCCGGAAAUCUUACCGGGACCGACAGCAACAUGAAGGCCAAGCUGAAGACUUUGCCGGAUUAGCUGAGAGGAGGUGCAUGGCGUAGUCGUGU